Molecule: long non-coding RNA, 1140 nt
Filed under: Piliocolobus tephrosceles (Ugandan red Colobus)
Lineage: Eukaryota; Metazoa; Chordata; Mammalia; Primates; Cercopithecidae
Description: lncRNA (ENSPTEG00000019632.1)
Source: RNAcentral
GCAGGCCCUCUGUUUGCUCAGCCUGGGGUCAGUCACUGACCCAGUGCCCAGCACAAGGUGGGUGGACCCCCCAGGGGCUCUUGCUACCCUGACCAGGAGCCACGCUGAGCUACAGAUCUGAUACCUGGGUCUAUGCCAAGGGCUUGCGCUAACGCACCCUGUAUGGACUCAGCCAGGUGAGCCACGAUGGUAACAGCUGGCUUGUCAGCCUCGCCUUCCUUGCAAGAAGUUAUUGAAUAACAGCAGAGCUUUUUGAGGCAGGUGUUAAUCAUGUCCCCAUCUUACCGGUGAGGACGCUGAGUCUUGGAGCAGCUCCCAUCUGUGAGUGAGUGUUGGAGCCAGGUCUGUCUGACCUCCAAGUUGAACUUCUACUCUCCAUUCCAAGGAGAAGCGUGCUUAGGGAGGCGCUGCUUGUAGAAAAGGAUCCUGGAGAACUAUUCAUUUGCCAUCACUCAGGCUAAAAGAGCAACAGAAGAAAUGAUCAAUGAAAAACCCUCCAAAAUUUGUCAUUGGCUUGGGUUUAUCCUGCUUUAAAUCAUAACCUAAGCAGCCUGAAAUGCUAUUUCCCAAAGAUGGGAAUGAAAUUCUGGUUAUUCAGGGAAGAAGCCAAGGGCUGGGGGUUUGCAGGAGCAGUUUCCAGACUCCCAGAGUGCAGGAUCAACAGCCCUCUUUCCAGCAUCUGAAGCUCAUACGAGCUUACUGUGUGGACCCACUCAGAACCCCAGAGUUGGAAUAAAGAUUAUUUUAAACUGAAGACAUUUGAGGUUCAACAGAUGCAGAGAAAAGCCUCCUCAGAGCUUCCCUUGUCUGACUAAAAGCAGCAACUUCUGGUAAAUGAAGCUACCAUAGAUCCCUUCUCUGGGGGAGUUUCAUGGCCCUGAAGAAGAUGAAAAGACCACCUCUAUUUAUAUGGAAAAACAUCAUCACACAUCUAAAAAAAUGUCCUGUUAUCCUGAAAAAAAAUGUAUAUCCUAAAGAAGCCGUUUGUACUUCCCAUAGGAGUCUUUUCUCCCUCCUCCCUUUCCCCUACUAAGUUAGGUAUUUAAGCCCCAAGUGCUAAUCACGACUUUGAGUUACUCAUUACUGAACACUCGGGCUUGCAUAAAUAAACUCUUCUCUUCUCUUGCUAACGUAUCUUGU